RNAcentral lists this ribosomal RNA (466 nucleotides) under Vreelandella stevensii. RNAcentral describes it as "partial 16S ribosomal RNA". It matches the Rfam family "Bacterial small subunit ribosomal RNA", at positions 338 to 795 of the family's 1533-position model. The record is from RNAcentral. Lineage: Bacteria; Pseudomonadati; Pseudomonadota; Gammaproteobacteria; Oceanospirillales; Halomonadaceae.
CCUACGGGGUGCAGCAGUGGGGAAUAUUGGACAAUGGGCGAAAGCCUGAUCCAGCCAUGCCGCGUGUGUGAAGAAGGCCUUCGGGUUGUAAAGCACUUUCAGUGGGGAAGAAAGCCUUGGGGCUAAUACCCUCGAGGAAGGACAUCACCCACAGAAGAAGCACCGGCUAACUCCGUGCCAGCAGCCGCGGUAAUACGGAGGGUGCGAGCGUUAAUCGGAAUUUCUGGGCGUAAAGCGCGCGUAGGCGGUCUGAUAAGCCGGUUGUGAAAGCCCCGGGCUCAACCUGGGAACGGCAUCCGGAACUGUCAGGCUAGAGUGCAGGAGAGGAAGGUAGAAUUCCCGGUGUAGCGGUGAAAUGCGUAGAGAUCGGGAGGAAUACCAGUGGCGAAGGCGGCCUUCUGGACUGACACUGACGCUGAGGUGCGAAAGCGUGGGUAGCAAACAGGAUUAGAUACCCCGGGUAGUC